This 305-nucleotide long non-coding RNA is filed under the name Elaeis guineensis (African oil palm). Its description in RNAcentral is "long non-coding RNA (EGUI_LNC043845)". Lineage: Eukaryota; Viridiplantae; Streptophyta; Magnoliopsida; Arecales; Arecaceae. The record is from RNAcentral.
UCCAAUUACUUCUCCAAGCAUGUUGCAGCGACUUGGUCUCUAAGUCCUAUGGCCUCACCUAACAGUUAUUGGCACAUUUCUUAGUUAAGUCCGAUCCAUUGUUCACCAGCGGAUGCAAAGCCGUCAUUGGGUCCCUCACCUAACAGUUAUUAGGCCCAACCCCAUCUUUACCCCAGGGCAUCUAAUGCCAAUUGAGUGAUUGUACCUUCUCGAUGCAAUCGAACUACUGUAACCAGCCGAGAACGAUCAACAUUGGAAAAGGCACCCACAUCUCUACAAUGGUGGAAGACCAGUAAACUUAAUAU